This 348-nucleotide long non-coding RNA is filed under the name Mustela putorius furo (domestic ferret). RNAcentral's name for it is "lncRNA (ENSMPUG00000028755.1)". The record is from RNAcentral. Lineage: Eukaryota; Metazoa; Chordata; Mammalia; Carnivora; Mustelidae.
GGCAGUUAUCUGCUAAUUUACCAUGACACUUUUUUUUUCUAGGCGGACCUCUCUUAAUGUUUACUGAAACAAUAACUGAGUGAUGUCAUACAUUUUGGGAAAGUCACACCCGUUUCAUGUAGACUCAGCUACAAUAGAGAAGUCCGGAUUUUGCGAAGAAGAAUGAACACAACCAUGGGUCUGGUUUUGGAAUUAGAAUGGAGUGGCUGGAACAACUAGGUUUCUGCAGUUUCAGGCGGGACUGAAGAAUACUCACAAAGGAUAUGCAGAUCUGUGUCAGAAAGCAUGGAGCAAGUGUUAAGAAAUUCUACAAGAGGCUCAGGAAGCGCUCAGGAUAAAGGUGACCCC